AGGGCGUAUGGUGGAUGCCUUGGCAGACAGGACCGAUGAAGGACGUUUGAGGCUGCGAUAUGCCUCGGGGAGCCGCCAACAGGGCUUUGAUCCGAGGAUUUCCGAAUGGGGGAACCCACCGGCCGUCAUGGGCCGGUACCGCCGUGUGCGGGGGGUACGCAGGGAAGUGAAACAUCUCAGUACCUGCAGGAAAGGAUAUUCCGUGAGUAGUGGCGAGCGAAAGCGGAUCAGGCCAAACCUUGCGCGUGUGAUACCCGUCGGGGGUUGCGCGCGGGGUGUAGAGGGAUCGCGUUUGCCGGCUCCGACGGGCCGGCCGUCAGUUGCAUAAAACCAUGUGCCAGGGGAACCGGGUUGAAUACCGGGCCGCAGAGGGUGAGGGCCCCGUACCCGAACGCGCAUGGUCUGGCGAUCGCGUCUCCCAAGUAGCACGGGCCCCGUGGAAUCCCGUGCGAAUCUGUCCCGACCGUGGGAUAAGCCUAAAUAUUCCUGUCUGACCGAUAGCGAACGAGUACCGUGAGGGAAAGGUGAAAAGUACCCCGGGAGGGGAGUGAAACAGUCUCUGAAACCAUGCGCCUACGAACCGUCGGGGCCCCCUUGUGGGGUGACGGCGUGCCUAUCGAAAAAUGAGUCUGCGAGUCAGUGGCAUGUGGCGAGCAUAANCCGUGUGGCGUAUGCGUAGCGAAGGCGAGUCUUAAAAGGCGUUUGAGUCGCGUGUCCUGGACCCGAAGCGGGAUGAUCUAGCCCUGAGCAGGUUGAAGCGCGGGUAAGACCGUGUGGAGGACCGAACCCACCUGGGUUGAAAACCGGGGGGAUGACUUGGGGCUAGGGGUGAAAGGCCAAUCAAAUUCCGUGAUAGCUGGUUCUCUCCGAAAUGCAUUUAGGUGCAGCGUCGGAUCGAUUACAUCCGGGGGGUAGAGCGACUGGAUGCUUGCGGGCCCAUAUCGGGUACCAACAGCAACCAAACUCCGAAUACCCGUGAUGCGUAUCCCGGCAGUGAGUCGGCGGGGGAUAAGCUCCGUCGUCGAAAGGGAAACAGCCCAGAUCGUCGUCUAAGGUCCCCAAGCGUGUGCUAAGUGGGAAAGGAUGUGGAGUCGCAUAGACAGCCAGGAGGUUGGCUCAGAAGCAGCCACCCUUGAAAGAGUGCGUAACAGCUCACUGGUCUAGUGGUUCCGCGCCGACAAUGUAGCGGGGCUCAAGCACACCACCGAAGACGCGGCAGUAGCUUUGCUACUGGGUAGGAGAGCGUCCCAUGCGGGGCGAAGCGGCGGCGCAAGCCCGCCGUGGACUGCAUGGGAGUGAGAAUGCAGACAUGAGUAGCGAAAGACGGGUGAAGAUCCCGUCCGCUGGACGACCAAGGGUUCCAGGGCCACGUUCAUCGUCCCUGGGUGAGUCGGGUCCUAAGGCGAGGCCGACAGGCGUAGUCGAAUGGAUGAACGGGUCGAUAUUCCCGUACCGGCAUGCAACCGACAAAACCGAAUCCGCGAGUACUAACCUCCGGGUCCGGGCUUACGUCUCCUUCGGGAGCCGGAUGCCCUGGCCUGUUGGGACCGUAACGGUAGUAGGUCAGCGCGGGAGUGACGCAGAAGGGUAGCCGGCCGCGGAGGUGGUCUUCCGUGGUCAAGCACGCAGCCCGUCCCACAGGCAAAUCCGUGGGGCGCGUGGGCGAGGUGCGAUGAUGGGCGCCGCAGGGCGCGAUAUCCGGUGAUCCCGGCUGCCGAGAAAAGCUUCGGCGUGAGGCGGCGUGCCGCCCGUACCCCAAACCGACACUGGUGGUCAGGUAGAGAAUACCAAAGCGAUCGAGCGAAUCCUGGUCAAGGAACUCGGCAAAUCACUCCCGUUCCUUCGGUUUAAGGGAGACCCCCGAUGGUGAAGCGGCUUGCCCGUGGAGCUUUUGGGGGUGGCACAGACCAGGGGGUAGCGACUGUUUACCAAAAACACAGGAGCGUGCGAAGGCGCAAGCCGCUGUAUACGCUCUGACGCCUGCCCGGUGCCGGAAGGUUAAGAGGAUCCGUCAGGCUUCGGCCGAAGCGGUGAAUUCAAGCCCCGGUAAACGGCGGUGGUAACUAUAACCAUCCUAAGGUAGCGAAAUUCCUUGUCGGGUAAGUUCCGACCUGCACGAAUGGCGUAACGACUUCCCCACUGUCUCGACCAGGAGCUCGGCGAAAUUGCAGUACGAGUAAAGAUGCUCGUUAAGCGCAGAAGGACGAAAAGACCCCGGGACCUUUACUAUACCUUGGUAUUGGCAUUCGGUGUGGAUUGUGUAGCAUAGGCGGAAGGCUUCGAAGCCACGGCGCCAGCCGCGGUGGAGCCGCAAGGUGAAAUACCGCUCUGUUCGCAUUGGAUGUCUAACCUCGACCAGUCAUCCUGGU
RNAcentral lists this ribosomal RNA (2369 nucleotides) under human gut metagenome. RNAcentral describes it as "bacterial LSU rRNA". It matches the Rfam family "Bacterial large subunit ribosomal RNA", at positions 14 to 2245 of the family's 2925-position model. The record is from RNAcentral.